Long non-coding RNA from Herpailurus yagouaroundi (jaguarundi), 480 nucleotides. RefSeq lists it as uncharacterized. NCBI's taxonomy places the organism in Eukaryota, Metazoa, Chordata, Mammalia, Carnivora, Felidae. The transcript has 2 exons. The record is from RefSeq and is a predicted model, not a curated record.
GUUAAAUUACAACCCAGGUGCGAUGCGACACUCGGGCGUGUCACAUGCCCCUUUUGGUAAAAUGGAUUUGGGGCAGAACCUCUCUUUCUCUCUCCAUGCUGUGUCUUCACAGGAACGGACAAGCUGAUGAUCCUAAAACUCAGAUGGAAAUGCAAAGGACUCCAAACAGCCAAAAUAAUCUUGAAAAAGGACAAAGUUGGAACUUUGUCAGUUCCUGCAAAUAGAAAAGAUUUCAUGGAAAUGUCAUCAUACAAUAUGUGACCUAUCAUGUCUGGCUUCUUUCACUUGGCAUAGUGUUUUCAGGGUUCAUCCAUGUUGUAGCAUAUAGCAUUAUUUCGUUCCUUUUUAUGGCCCCAAACAUUCCAUUGUAUUGGUAUACCAACCACAUGUUGUUGAUACGUUUGUCUGUUGAUGGACUUUUGCAUUGUUUCUAUUCUUUGGCUAUUAUAAAUAAUGCUGCCAUAAAACAUUCAUGUACAA